Molecule: ribosomal RNA, 260 nt
Filed under: uncultured bacterium
Lineage: Bacteria
Description: partial 16S ribosomal RNA
Source: RNAcentral
CAUGGGCGGUGUGUACAAGGCUCGGGAACGUAUUCACCGUGACAUUCUGAUUCACGAUUACUAGCGAUUCCGACUUCACGCAGUCGAGUUGCAGACUGCGAUCCGGACUACGAUCGGUUUUAUGGGAUUAGCUCCACCUCGCGGCUUGGCAACCCUUUGUACCGACCAUUGUAGCACGUGUGUAGCCCCAGGCCGAUAAGGGCCCAUGAUGACUUUGACGUUCAUCACCCACCCUUCCUCAGGUAUUGUCAACCGGACAG